Molecule: ribosomal RNA, 510 nt
Filed under: Escherichia coli
Lineage: Bacteria; Pseudomonadati; Pseudomonadota; Gammaproteobacteria; Enterobacterales; Enterobacteriaceae
Description: partial 23S ribosomal RNA
Rfam family: Bacterial large subunit ribosomal RNA
Source: RNAcentral
GAAACCCGGUGAUCUAGCCAUGGGCAGGUUGAAGGUUGGGUAACACUAACUGGAGGACCGAACCGACUAAUGUUGAAAAAUUAGCGGAUGACUUGUGGCUGGGGGUGAAAGGCCAAUCAAACCGGGAGAUAGCUGGUUCUCCCCGAAAGCUAUUUAGGUAGCGCCUCGUGAAUUCAUCUCCGGGGGUAGAGCACUGUUUCGGCAAGGGGGUCAUCCCGACUUACCAACCCGAUGCAAACUGCGAAUACCGGAGAAUGUUAUCACGGGAGACACACGGCGGGUGCUAACGUCCGUCGUGAAGAGGGAAACAACCCAGACCGCCAGCUAAGGUCCCAAAGUCAUGGUUAAGUGGGAAACGAUGUGGGAAGGCCCAGACAGCCAGGAUGUUGGCUUAGAAGCAGCCAUCAUUUAAAGAAAGCGUAAUAGCUCACUGGUCGAGUCGGCCUGCGCGGAAGAUGUAACGGGGCUAAACCAUGCACCGAAGCUGCGGCAGCGACACUAUGUGUUGUU